AUUGAACGCUGGCGGCAGGCCUAACACAUGCAAGUCGAGCGAGCGGCGGACGGGUGAGUAAUGUCUGGGAAACUGCCUGAUGGAGGGGGGUAACUACUGGAAACGGUAGCUAAUACCGCAUACCAUCAGAUGUGCCCAGAUGGGAUUAGCUAGUGGGUGGGGUAAAGGCGCACCUAGGCGACGAUCCCUAGCUGGUCUGAGAGGAUGACCAGCCACCAUGGAACUUAGACACGGCCACGACUCCAACGGGAGGCAUCAGUGGGGAAUAUUGCACAAUGGGCGCAAGCCUGAUGCAGCCAUGCCGCGUGUGUGAAGAAGGCCUUCGGGUUGUAAAGCACUUUCAGCGGGGAGGCGUUAACCGCAGAAGAAGCACCGGCUAACUCCGUGCCAGCAGCCGCGGUAAUAC
Molecule: ribosomal RNA, 406 nt
Filed under: uncultured bacterium
Lineage: Bacteria
Description: partial 16S ribosomal RNA
Rfam family: Bacterial small subunit ribosomal RNA
Source: RNAcentral